This 255-nucleotide long non-coding RNA is filed under the name Pan troglodytes (chimpanzee). RNAcentral's name for it is "long non-coding RNA NONPTRT004096". Lineage: Eukaryota; Metazoa; Chordata; Mammalia; Primates; Hominidae. The record is from RNAcentral.
GCAGAAUCCGUGGAAGUUGAGAAGUGUACGCAGAAGCCUGCAUUCCAGCAGAAAGGGUAUAGAUUGCCAAAUGCCGGGACUGGAGUCUUGGCUUUCUGAAGAUCUUUUCCAUUACCUCUGCAGCAAGAAUGACAUCUUCUAAAGACUCAGGAUGGCCUCUAAUCUUCAUGGCCUAAUUCCCUGAUCCUCCAACCAGGAGGCCCCCCCAGGCCUGAAAGAAGUGUUUGUAAAGGUAAGAACAGCUGUUAGCUUUGC